CCUGAUUUCAGACAAAGAAAUGUUUGUGUAGGCCAGAGCAAAACCAGUUAAGCAAGAAGAAAAAGGGGCAGAUUGAAAGAAGUGAGAGAAUCCAGUCAAAGCAAAGCAUGGCAUGAUUAAUAAGUGAAGGCAAUCAGUCUGUGGGAAGGAACUACUAUUGCAUAUAGUAAUUCCUGCAGGUAAGAAGAGCCCACCUGCUGAGGACAAAGUUGUGCUAACACACAUGAAGAUAUUGAGCAAUGAAGGAAUUCAAAACCCAGGGUUAAUCCCAGAGGCUCCAGCUGACACAGCCUGCACAGAAGAGUCCCAUCUUCCCGGCGCCAGCCUCCCACCAGACUGCUUGGAAAAUCCAAAUGCAGCAGCCGCACCGGCAGAUCCAAACUGUGCAGAUGGCCCGGCAAGCACUGACUACGUACCCACCCUGCCUGACCUCAGCGCCUUCGAGUCCAAGUGCCGGCUUCAUAGGUUCUCCAAAUUUGAAUCUGAGGACUCAGGGGUUGAAUUGCCAAGUGGGGCUAAUUCUCCAUCGACACCGACUGGCUCAGAGAAGAGCUUUGUGCUUCACAGCAGAGACUCAUUUUGUGACUCGGGUGUGCUUAGCACCUCUUCUUCUCCAGAAAUUGACCAUCAGCUAAUGAGAACAUGUAAAGAACAUGCCAGAAAAGUCAGCCUCCAAGAUCCAGAGAGCAAAAACCAAGAUGAUUACUACAGCCAGGAGGCAGAUGCUGUGCAGGGUCCUACAGCUUCCCUUGAAGACUUCAGCGUCCCUCAGGAAGAAAAUCCUGAUGAACAUUUUGACCAGAGUGACAAGCAGUUUCCAGAAAAGGAACCUACCCCAGAGAUGGACCUUUCCAGGGAAAGCACUCUUUCCACCCCAGGUCCCACAGAAGAGCCAAAGACAAUUGCUGACAAUUUCCCAGAGAAUUUUGGCAGCGUGCAAGACCUUCAGGUCCAUGAACAUCCGCUGAAGAAGUACCCUACAAGUGACAGUCUGAAUGAAUACAUGGAUGAAUGCUGUAGACUGAGUGAGGUGAACCAAGGUAACAGCAAAGCCCUGGGAUCUGGUCUGGGAUACCUAGAACACAUUUGCCAACUGAUUGAAAAGAUUGGGCAGCUGCAGGAGCACAACCUGCGUCUCCAAAAACAAGUGUGCAGCUUGCAGAAAGAGCAGAAGAUGUGCCAGUUAAAAGAGGAAUACCUUCUGCAGCAUUGCUCCUGUGGAGCUGCCAGCAUCUUCCUCAGCUCACAUCAAGACAUUAAAACAAUGUUUGCUGGGAGGAGCAGACCUCACAGCCUCUUGGUUCAGACUGGAAACCCAUCUGAUCUUUCCAUCAUCCCAGAAAUAGGAGCGAACACUGAAAAGCUGAGCAGCUGCAAUGGUGAGUUCAGAUAUGUCUAACCUGCCCUCCUGUUUGCCACCACUUGGUCAAAUAAGCUGACCAGCCACUUUCUUCUCCCUA
Molecule: long non-coding RNA, 1460 nt
Filed under: Manacus vitellinus (golden-collared manakin)
Lineage: Eukaryota; Metazoa; Chordata; Aves; Passeriformes; Pipridae
Description: lncRNA (ENSMVIG00005016545.1)
Source: RNAcentral